GGGCCUAUAGCUCAGGUGGUAGAGCGCUCUGCUGAUAACGGAGAGGUCAGUCGUUCGAGUCGACUUAGGCCCACCA
Molecule: transfer RNA, 76 nt
Filed under: Candidatus Chromulinivorax destructor
Lineage: Bacteria; Candidatus Babeliae; Candidatus Babeliales; Candidatus Chromulinivoracaceae
Description: Candidatus Dependentiae bacterium (ex Spumella elongata CCAP 955/1) tRNA-Ile
Rfam family: tRNA
About the family: Transfer RNA (tRNA) molecules are approximately 80 nucleotides in length. Their secondary structure includes four short double-helical elements and three loops (D, anti-codon, and T loops). Further hydrogen bonds mediate the characteristic L-shaped molecular structure. tRNAs have two regions of fundamental functional importance: the anti-codon, which is responsible for specific mRNA codon recognition, and the 3' end, to which the tRNAs corresponding amino acid is attached (by aminoacyl-tRNA synthetases). tRNAs cope with the degeneracy of the genetic code in two manners: having more than one tRNA (with a specific anti-codon) for a particular amino acid; and 'wobble' base-pairing, i.e. permitting non-standard base-pairing at the 3rd anti-codon position.
Source: RNAcentral